GUCAGCUUUGCUUCGCUUUCGGUCAUUCUUCUCUUUUUUUUUUUUAAACCAAACGCCUCAGGACGGACAGACGGACUCCAUCACCCUCCAGCAAGAGCUGUUCCCAGCGAGGCUGUGACGAGGCAGAACGGACGCAGCUCCCCGCUGCAGCCGCCCAGGGCAAACCCGACUCCCGCACGUUCCCAGACGGCCAUUUCUCCCCACCCCGAGAACCGAAUUCGAAGAACAAACCCAAGAGAAACUAACCCGGCAAAGGACGCGGCUCGGCUGCUCGGGGUUUCUGGGGUAACCCGAGGCCACCGGGCCGCCCCCCCGCGUCCCCACGCAGCCGGAGCGAGGCAGGGCAGGGCAGGUGCCGGGCGCGGCCGCCGACCUUCGCUCCGCGCACGGGCAGCGCCGCACCGGGAGCCCCGCGGCUCAAAGCUCCCCCAGCAGCGGCUCCCGACCCGGGGGGCUCCGCCGCGCCCGGCCUCAGCUGUCACGGCCCCGGAGCCGCGCCGUGAUUUCGUAACAGGGUGCCGAACAUUACGUAAGAAAACAGUUAUUCCCGCUGUGACGCGCCUCGGAGGGCAAAAAGGAAAGGCGAACCGCCAUCGGCUGCCACCCGGCGCCGGUCGUUCCCCCCCCACAAUCACGCAGCGCGGUGACCCGGCGACCCGGACCCCGCUCGCUCUACCUGGCCCCACCGCGGCGGCAGCACCGCGCGCUGCGCUCCGCUCCCGAUGCCGCCUCGGGCUCCUGCGGCUCGGCCUGACCCCGUCCUGUUCCGGCCCGGCGCCUCCCCGGGCUCUGCGGUGGCGGCUGCGUGACGUCGGGCGGGGACGGCGGGGAGGGGACGGGGCGGGACGGGGCGGGCUCUGCCGCCGCACCGGGAGCCGGGAGCCUUUCCCCGGACUCAGCGGCACCGAGCGACCCCGGCUGGACCGGGACGCAGCACCCCCGAAGCGGCCCCGAGGCACCUGCAAAGCGCGGCCCUCGGCCCCGGCUGGAAACCGUGUCGGAGGACUCGCCGGAGAUGUCCGUAUGAUGCAGCAGUGGGUGAAGGAGCUGCAAAGCGGAGAUGCUCAGGGAAGGACCGUUUGCAGCACUUUGCAUAACGCGCAUCUGCCAGAAGAUGGCAGCAGACGCCCUGGGAUGGAGCUGGCAGCGGUGGCAGCUGCUCUGCGGGGCUCUAUUUUUCAUAUACUCUUACGAGCUGCAGAUUGCGCUGGUGGAAACGGAAUAACAGAGAAUACAUAA
Molecule: long non-coding RNA, 1239 nt
Filed under: Phasianus colchicus (ring-necked pheasant)
Lineage: Eukaryota; Metazoa; Chordata; Aves; Galliformes; Phasianidae
Description: lncRNA (ENSPCLG00000010217.1)
Source: RNAcentral